GCCGGGCGUGGCGGUGCACACCUGUAAUCCCAGCAGCUCGGGAGGCUGAGGCAAGAGGAUCACGAGUUUAAAACCAGCCUCAGCAACUUUGCAAAGCCCUAAGCAACUUAAUGAGACCUGUCUCUA
Molecule: small RNA, 126 nt
Filed under: Marmota monax (woodchuck)
Lineage: Eukaryota; Metazoa; Chordata; Mammalia; Rodentia; Sciuridae
Source: RNAcentral